RNAcentral lists this ribosomal RNA (117 nucleotides) under Acinetobacter haemolyticus. RNAcentral's name for it is "partial 16S ribosomal RNA". It matches the Rfam family "Bacterial small subunit ribosomal RNA", at positions 1418 to 1533 of the family's 1533-position model. Lineage: Bacteria; Pseudomonadati; Pseudomonadota; Gammaproteobacteria; Moraxellales; Moraxellaceae. The record is from RNAcentral.
CACCAGAAGUAGGUAGUCUAACCGUAAGGAGGACGCUUACCACGGUGUGGCCGAUGACUGGGGUGAAGUCGUAACAAGGUAGCCGUAGGGGAACCUGCGGCUGGAUCACCUCCUUAA